GUGUCUGAAAUUAAUUUGAUGUGCUGGUCGAUUCCGAAAAGUCUGCAUCAAUCAUUAUAACAAUCGAAAUCGUUGUGAUUGGCUGAAUUUAUGGUAUUCUUGUUGCAACAAUGCAUUGUAGCCAAUAGUGAGCGACCGUCAACCAAUCA
Maniola jurtina (meadow brown) is the source of this 149-nucleotide long non-coding RNA. RefSeq lists it as uncharacterized. Lineage: Eukaryota; Metazoa; Arthropoda; Insecta; Lepidoptera; Nymphalidae. The record is from RefSeq and is a predicted model, not a curated record. The transcript has 4 exons.